GGUCCAGUGGCGAAAUGGUUACCGCGUUCGGCUUCGAUUGUGCUGUCCUCGCUUCGAGACUAGCAAGAUACAGACGACACCGAGAGACUCCAGGUUCAACCCCUGGCUGGAUCG
Molecule: non-coding RNA, 114 nt
Organism: Chytridium lagenaria
Lineage: Eukaryota; Fungi; Chytridiomycota; Chytridiomycetes; Chytridiales; Chytridiaceae
Source: the annotation of a GenBank genome assembly